ACGAACGCUGGCGGCAUGGAUUAGGCAUGCAAGUCGAACGGGUGUAGCAAUACACUAGUGGCGCAAGGGUGAGGAACACGUGAGUAAGCUGCCCUUUAGUUGGGAAUAACUCUACGAAAGUGGAGCUAAUACCGAAUGUGACCAGCACCUCGCAUGAGGAGCUGGUUAAAGAUUUAUUGCUAAAGGAUGUGCUCGCGUCCCAUUAGCUUGUUGGUGAGGUAACGGCUCACCAAGGCAAUGACGGGUAGGUGGUCUGAGAGGAUGGUCACCCACACUGGGACUGAGAACUGCCCAGACUCCUACGGGAGGCUGCAGUCGAGAAUCUUCCGCAAUGGGCGAAAGCCUGACGGAGCAAUGCCGCGUGCAGGAUGAAGGCCUUCGGGUCGUAAACUGCUGUCACCGGGGAUGAAUAAUGACAGUACCCGGGGAGGAAGUCACGGCUAACUACGU
Molecule: ribosomal RNA, 450 nt
Filed under: uncultured bacterium
Lineage: Bacteria
Description: bacterial SSU rRNA
Rfam family: Bacterial small subunit ribosomal RNA
Source: RNAcentral